Molecule: ribosomal RNA, 639 nt
Filed under: uncultured marine eukaryote
Lineage: Eukaryota
Description: SSU rRNA
Rfam family: Eukaryotic small subunit ribosomal RNA
Source: RNAcentral
UGCGGUUAAAAAGCUCGUAGUUGGAUUUCUGCCUUGGUUGCGUGGUCCGCCUUCUCGGGCGUGUAUCUACGCGUGCCUUGGCAUCCUCUUGAAGAACGUUCUCGCGCUUCAUUGCGUGGUACGGUAUUCAAGACUUUUACUUUGAGGAAAUUAGAGUGUUCACGGCAGGCAAUCGCUUUGAAUACAUUAGCAUGGAAUAAUCUUAUAGGACCUCGGUUCUAUUUUGUUGGUUUCUAGAGCUGAGGUAAUGAUUAAUAGGGAUAAUUGGGGGUCUUUGUAUUGCAACGUCAGAGGUGAAAUUCUUGGAUUGUUGCACGACAAACUACUGCGAAAGCAUUGACCAAGGAUAUUUUCAUUGAUCAAGAACGAAAGUAAGGGGAUCGAAGACGAUCAGAUACCGUCGUAGUCUUUACCAUAAACUAUGCCAACUAGGGAUUGGAGGUCGUUUUAUUCUCGACUCCUUCAGCACCUUAUGAGAAAUCAAAGUCUUUGGGUUCCGGGGGGAGUAUGGUCGCAAGGCUGAAACUUAAAGGAAUUGACGGUAGGGCACCACCAGGAAUGGAGCCUGCGGCUUAAUUUGACUCAACACGGGAAAACUCACCAGGUCCAGACAUAGGAAGGAUUGACAGAUUGAUAGCU